Non-coding RNA from Rattus norvegicus (Norway rat), 360 nucleotides. Lineage: Eukaryota; Metazoa; Chordata; Mammalia; Rodentia; Muridae. The record is from RefSeq and is a predicted model, not a curated record.
GUGUUAAGAGGGUCGGUCCAGCUUUAAGAACUAUGGUAAAUUUUUAGCACACCAUUUUCUUUGCUCUGUCUGAAAAUCAAAAGUAUCCAAUAUGAGACUUGCAAUGAAGAAGGGGGAUGCUUUGAACCUGUAUUAGGGUAUUAUGGGUGAGAAUUUAGAACUGAAUAGCAGCAAUGGAUACAGAACAGAGCACACAUCCAGGAGGAUUGCUUACUGAUCUAAAGAUUGGAACUAAGGCACAAAAUUUGAAAGAAAACUAAGCCUUAAUUUUCAUGCAGUGAAAUAAACUUCUUAGCAUGCAGUAGGUAGAUCAGUGCAAACCUGACAAUUUGACAAAAAUAAAGCAGCUUAUAAAAUUUA